RNAcentral lists this unclassified non-coding RNA (2129 nucleotides) under Bactrocera latifrons. RNAcentral describes it as "myeloid leukemia factor, transcript variant X2". The record is from RNAcentral. Lineage: Eukaryota; Metazoa; Arthropoda; Insecta; Diptera; Tephritidae.
GGCACAAAGGGAAGGAAAUUUGUCGAAUUUUAAACGAAGCAUUGAAAAGUGAAGACGAGUUUUACCUUCAAGUGCUGAAAAUUUUGUGUUUUAAUUGAUUUCCAACAACUUUAAUUGCUUAAAAACUGCGAAUUAUUUGGAAUAACACAUAGGAACAUAUUGCAAAUAAAAAACUCAUAACAAAAUGUCGCUAUUCGGCUCAUUAAUGGGAGAUUUCGAUGAUGACCUUUUCAUGGGCAAUCACAUGAAUGCCAUGAACAUGCAAAUGCGUUCGAUGAAUCGUUUUAUGAACUCAUUCAUGCCCGAUCCAUUCAAUAUGUUGGCACCAUUCGACCCCGGAUUCCAACAGAAUGCGCUCAUGGAGCGUAGCAAUCAACAUGUGGCUAAUCCAAUGGGUGGACUUUUCGGCUUUCCAGCAAUGCCAAAUAUAAAUAGAUUACUUAGUGCAGAUAUUGGUUCGCCAAACGGCGCCUCAUAUUGCUCCAGCUCAGUGAUUACUAUGUCCUCGGGUCCAGAUGGUCGCCCACAAAUUUAUCAGGCAACAACUAGUACAAAAACUGGACCAGGUGGCAUACGUGAGACACGUAAAACCGUUGAGGAUUCAAGGCGUGGCAUGAAGAAAAUGGCUAUUGGUCAUCAUAUUGGGGAACGUGCGCAUAUUAUUGAAAAAGAACAAGAUAUGCGUUCCGGUCAGUUAGAGGAGCGUCAAGAGUUUAUAAAUUUAGAGGAAGAUGAUGCAGAGGACUUCGAUCGUGAAUUUACCAACCGGGCACGUGCUGGUGUACGUGGUGCGCGUCCACAAGAGAUGAUCACNAUUGAAUCGGCUGAUGAUGACGAUGACGUGCGUCCACGUCAUUACAACAGACAUCACGGUAGUGGUGGACAGCAUCGCAGACAAUUGCCAGCCUUGCCCGCACCGCCACAACAACAGAAUAGCUCGACAUUGUCCCCUUCAUCGUCGGUUGAAUCGUUAAACUCCAACUCUAAAAACAACAAACGCCACAAUAACAACACCGACACUUUGUCUACGGAGCGCGCAAAUGCAAACGCCACCACAAAAAACAAAAACACAGCUUCAACGUCAACACAAAACAGCAAUAGUAAAGUCAGCAACAACAAUAGCUAUUUGACAUCGCAAACAACGCUUCGGUCUCCGUCCGCUGCCGGCUAUCAUCGCGGUAUCACAGCACGUCGUCCAUUACGUACGCCAUCGUCGUCGCCCCUUGCCACCACACCGACCAAUCACAGUCACAGCACAGCGCCAACGACAAGAGAUUGGCGGUUGUAUAAUCCACGUUUUUAUCGCACAAAUAAAUAAACAAUGGCGCAACCACAAUGAAAAUUAAAACAACAACAGUAAAUCGUGAAGAUAAAAUAAAAUAUACUCAUAUCUAAGUAAAUAAAAUAGAAAACAAAUUUAUGGAAAUCGGUUGGGAGAGCAGCCGUGGAAGCUACAACAACAAAAUAUGAAAACAAAAAUCAACACCAAGAUAAAAAUGUGCAAUAAUUUUAACUAAUUUACUACGAACAUUUGUAAACAGACAGUCUAUUCAGCAAAACGAAUAACGAAAACAACGACAAACGAAAAAAUACUCGGCGAUUUUUGAUAAUAUAAGUAAAAAACAAAAAAAAUAUUAAUCAAUCAGUCAUACAUAAUUGAUUGGCAUACGAAGUAAUAAUAUUAAUGGCAUACUUUACACACUAUAUGUACAUACAAACAAAGCGUCAAAGAAACGAUCUUGAAACCAAACAAUGCAGCCUACUUAGCCAAGAANACAUAUAGAUGCAUUGAAAUGCUUGCUGCACAACUUUCCACUUCAGUGCUGCUCAAAUCUUGUUAUUCAUAUGAGGCUGGAGUGCGUUGUAAGCAGACUUGAGACAUUUAUGCGGUUGUUAUGAGCCGAUCAAAGCUAAACAACAUCAAAUCUUGCAAAAGUAAAUUAACAAAAAAAACACACAAGACAAACAAACUGUUAUAUACAUAUAUAAUUCAGCUCCANCGUUGUGGUUAAUGAAUUGAUAUACUGCUCGCAGCCUCACGUUGUACAUCCCCAUCCAUAUAACGCUUCGGCCGCACGCCGCAAUUACCGCUCUAAACACAGCAAACAACACCAACAGCCACAUCAACC